AGAUUGAACGCUGGCGGCAGGCCUAACACAUGCAAGUCGAGCGGCAGCACGGGUACUUGUACCUGGUGGCGAGCGGCGGACGGGUGAGUAAUGCCUAGGAAUCUGCCUGGUAGUGGGGGGAUAACGCUCGGAAACGGACGCUAAUACCGCAUACGUCCUACGGGAGAAAGCAGGGGACCUUCGGGCCUUGCGCUAUCAGAUGAGCCUAGGUCGGAUUAGCUAGUUGGUGAGGUAAUGGCUCACCGAAGGCGACGAUCCGUAACUGGUCUGAGAGGAUGAUCAGUCACACUGGACUGAGACACGGUCCAGACUCCGUACGGGAGCAGCGAGUGGGAAUGUAGGACAAGUGGGACGAAAGCCGUGACU
Molecule: ribosomal RNA, 366 nt
Filed under: uncultured soil bacterium
Lineage: Bacteria
Description: bacterial SSU rRNA
Rfam family: Bacterial small subunit ribosomal RNA
Source: RNAcentral